RNAcentral lists this ribosomal RNA (160 nucleotides) under uncultured bacterium. RNAcentral's name for it is "partial 16S ribosomal RNA". It matches the Rfam family "Bacterial small subunit ribosomal RNA", at positions 355 to 507 of the family's 1533-position model. The record is from RNAcentral.
UGGGGAAUAUUGGACAACGGGCGAAAGCCUGAUCCAGCCAUGCCGCGUGUGUGAAGAAGGUCUUCGGAUUGUAAAGCACUUUAAGUUGGGAGGAAGGGCAGUAAGCGAAUACCUUGCUGUUUUGACGUUACCGACAGAAUAAGCACCGGCUAACUCUGUG